UUCUUCAGGGCAGGGUGAGAUUCCCGACCGGCGGUCAAAGUCCGCGAGCGCAAAUGCGCACGAUUCGGUGUGAUUCCGAAACCGACAGUACAGUCUGGAUGGAAGAAGGCA
Molecule: non-coding RNA, 111 nt
Filed under: uncultured Faecousia sp.
Lineage: Bacteria; Bacillati; Bacillota; Clostridia; Eubacteriales; Oscillospiraceae
Description: FMN riboswitch (RFN element)
Rfam family: FMN riboswitch aptamer (RFN element)
About the family: The RFN element is a highly conserved domain that is found frequently in the 5'-untranslated regions of prokaryotic mRNAs that encode for flavin mononucleotide (FMN) biosynthesis and transport proteins. This element is a metabolite-dependent riboswitch that directly binds FMN in the absence of proteins.
Source: RNAcentral